GAGCGAUCAAGUGUCGUAAGGGCGUUCGGUGGAUGCCUUGGCACUGAGAGGCGAUGAAAGACGUGGUACGCUGCGAUAAGCCAUGGGGAGCCGCGAACAGGCUUUGAUCCGUGGAUUUCUGAAUGGGGAAACCCACCUCCGAUGAUUGGAACUCCGAGCCCGUGCUUGAGCAAUCAAGUGCGGUCUUUGGCUUCCAAUUGUCAGUAGCGAGGUAUAAAGCCCUGAAUAAAAUAGGGGUUUUAAGCAAACCCGGGGAACUGAAACAUCUAAGUACCCGGAGGAAAGGACAUCAACAGAGACUCCGUUAGUAGUGGCGAGCGAACGCGGACCAGGCCAGUGGCAUACGAAAGAUAAGCCGAACCGGUUGGAAAGCCGGGCCUUAGUGGGUGAUAGCCCCGUAGGCGUAAACUAUCGUAUGUCCUCGAGUAGGGCGGGGCACGUGAAACCCUGCCUGAACAUGGGGGACCACCCUCCAAGCCUAAGUACUCCUCAGUGACCGAUAGCGAACAAGUACCGUGAGGGAAAGGUGAAAAGCACCCCGACGAGGGGAGUGAAAUAGUUCCUGAAACCGGACGCUUACAAACAGGUGAGGCCCGCAAGGGUGACACCGUACCUUUUGUAUUAUGGGCCAGCGACUUAGCGUGACGAGCAAGCUUAAGCCGAUAGGCGAAGGCGCAGCGAAAGCGAGUCUGAAUAGGGCGUUCAGUUCGUCGCGUUAGACCCGAAACCUAGUGAUCUAGCCAUGUGCAGGCUGAAGGUGAGGUAACACUCACUGGAGGGCCGAACCGGUGUCUGUUGAAAAAGACUCGGAUGACGUGUGGCUAGGGGUGAAAGGCCAAUCAAACUAGGAGAUAGCUGGUUCUCCGCGAAAACUAUUUAGGUAGUGCCUCGAGUGAAUACCCUGGGGGGUAGAGCACUGGAUGGGCUAGGGGGUCCUACAGACCUACCAAACCUAACCAAACUCCGAAUACCCAGGAGUAAUACUCGGGAGACAGACGGCGGGUGCUAACGUCCGUCGUCGAGAGGGAAACAACCCGGACCUACAGCUAAGGCCCCUAAUUCGUGGCUAAGUGGGAAAGGAUGUGGGAAUCCCAAAACAACCAGGAGGUUGGCUUAGAAGCAGCCAUCCUUUAAAGAAAGCGUAACAGCUCACUGGUCUAAAUAAGGGUUCCUGCGCCGAAGAUGUAACGGGGCUCAAGCCACGAGCCGAAGCUUAGGAUGCGUCGCAAGACGCGUGGUAGCGGAGCGUUCCGUAAGCCUGUGAAGGGCGACCCGUGAGGGCGCCUGGAGGUAUCGGAAGUGAGAAUGCUGGCAUAAGUAACGACAAACAGUGUGAGAGACACUGUCGCCGUAAGUCCAAGGGUUCCUGCGUAAAGUUAAUCUGCGCAGGGUUAGCCGGUCCCUAAGGCGAGGCCGAGAGGCGUAGUCGAUGGGAACCACGUUAAUAUUCGUGGGCCAGUGGGUAGUGACGGAUGUUUACCGUCGUUCGGGAUUAUUGGAUUUCUCGGGCGGCCGCGAUGUCCCAGGAAAUAGCUCCCACAUUAGACCGUACCCGAAACCGACACAGGUGGACUGGUAGAGUAUACCAAGGCGCUUGAGAGAACUAUGCUGAAGGAACUCGGCAAAUUACCUCCGUAACUUCGGGAUAAGGAGGCCCAUGUGCUGCGCAAGCAGUAUGUGGGGGCACAGACCAGGGGGUGGCGACUGUUUACCUAAAACACAGGGCUCUGCGAAGUCUAAAGACGACGUAUAGGGUCUGACGCCUGCCCGGUGCCGGAAGGUUAAGAGGAGGGGUGCAAGCUCUGAAUCGAAGCCCCGGUAAACGGCGGCCGUAACUAUAACGGUCCUAAGGUAGCGAAAUUCCUUGUCGGGUAAGUUCCGACCUGCACGAAUGGCGUAACGACUUCCCCGCUGUCUCCAGCAUAGACUCAGUGAAAUUGAAUUCCCCGUGAAGAUGCGGGGUUCCCGCGGUCAGACGGAAAGACCCCAUGAACCUUUACUGUAGCUUUGCACUGGUAUUCGUGUUGGCAUGUGUAGGAUAGGUGGUAGGCUUUGAAGCUUGGGCGCCAGCCUGAGUGGAGCCAUCCUUGAAAUACCACCCUUGUAGACAUGGAUAUCUAACCGCGGCCCUUCAACGGGGUCCGGGACAGUGCAUGGUGGGCAGUUUGACUGGGGCGGUCGCCUCCCAAAGAGUAACGGAGGCGCGCGAAGGUAGGCUCAGACCGGUCGGAAAUCGGUCGUUGAGUGCAAUGGCAUAAGCCUGCCUGACUGCAAGACUGACAAGUCGAGCAGAGACGAAAGUCGGUCAUAGUGAUCCGGUGGUUCCACGUGGACGGGCCAUCGCUCAACGGAUAAAAGGUACUCUGGGGAUAACAGGCUGAUGACGGCCAAGAGUCCAUAUCGACGCCGUCGUUUGGCACCUCGAUGUCGGCUCAUCACAUCCUGGGGCUGGAGAAGGUCCCAAGGGUUCGGCUGUUCGCCGAUUAAAGUGGUACGUGAGCUGGGUUCAGAACGUCGUGAGACAGUUCGGUCCCUAUCUGCCGUGGGUGUUGAAGACUUGAGAGGAUCUGUCCCUAGUACGAGAGGACCGGGAUGGACACACCUCUGGUGGAGCUGUUGUCGCGCCAGCGGCAGUGCAGCGUAGCUAUGUGUGGAAUAGAUAACCGCUGAAUGCAUCUAAGCGGGAAACUAACCUCAAAACGAGGUCUUCCUUGAGAACCGUGGUAGACCACCACGUUGAUAGGCCGGGUGUGGAAGCGCAGCAAUGUGUGUAGCUUACCGGUACUAAUCGUUCGAUAGGCUUGAACGCUCUCAUGA
Molecule: ribosomal RNA, 2817 nt
Filed under: Phreatobacter aquaticus
Lineage: Bacteria; Pseudomonadati; Pseudomonadota; Alphaproteobacteria; Hyphomicrobiales; Phreatobacteraceae
Description: Phreatobacter sp. NMCR1094 23S ribosomal RNA
Rfam family: Bacterial large subunit ribosomal RNA
Source: RNAcentral